AAUAGAUACCCGGGUAGUCCACCCCGUAAACGUUGGGAAACUAGUUGUGGGGGCCAUUCCACGGUCUCCGUGACGCAGCUAACGCAUUAAGUUCCCCGCCUGGGGAGUACGGCCGCAAGGCUAAAACUCAAAGGAAUUGACGGGGACCCGCACAAGCGGCGGAGCAUGCGGAUUAAUUCGAUGCAACGCGAAGAACCUUACCAAGGCUUGACAUAUACGAGAACACUGCAGAAAUGUAGGACUCUUUGGACACUCGUAUACAGGUGGUGCACGGUUGUCGUCAGCUCGUGUCGUGAGAUGUUGGGUUAAGUCCCGCAACGAGCGCAACCCUCGUUCUAUGUUGCCAGCACGUUAUGGUGGGAACUCAUGGGAUACUGCCGGGGGUCAACUCGGGAGGAAGGUGGGGACGACGUCAAAUCAUCGAUGCCCCUUAUGUCUUGGGCUUCACGCAUGCUACAAUGGCCGGUACAAAGGGCUGCGAUACCGUAAGGUGGAGCGAAUCCCAAAAAGCCGGUCCAGUUCGGAUUGAGGUCUGCAACUCGA
Molecule: ribosomal RNA, 543 nt
Filed under: uncultured bacterium
Lineage: Bacteria
Description: bacterial SSU rRNA
Rfam family: Bacterial small subunit ribosomal RNA
Source: RNAcentral